RNAcentral lists this ribosomal RNA (406 nucleotides) under uncultured bacterium. RNAcentral describes it as "partial 16S ribosomal RNA". It matches the Rfam family "Bacterial small subunit ribosomal RNA", at positions 29 to 526 of the family's 1533-position model. The record is from RNAcentral.
AUUGAACGCUGGCGGCAGGCUUAACACAUGCAAGUCGAGCGAGCGGCGGACGGGCGAGUAAUGUCUGGGAAACUGCCUGAUGGAGGGGGAUAACUACUGGAACCGGUAGCUAAUACCGCAUACCAUCAGAUGUGCCCAGAUGGGAUUAGCUAGUAGGUGGGGUAAUGGCUCACCUAGGCGACGAUCCCUAGCUGGUCUGAGAGGAGGACCAGCCACGAGGGAACGGGGACACGGUCCAGACGCCUACGGGAGGCAGCAGUGGGGAAGAUUGCACAAAGGGCGAAAGCCUGAUGCAGCCAGGCCGCGUGUAUGAAGAAGGCCUUCGGGUUGGAAAGUACUUUCAGCGGGGAGGCGUUACCCGAAGAAGAAGCACCGGCUAACUCCGUGCCAGCAGCCGCGGUAAUUC